RNAcentral lists this microRNA precursor (59 nucleotides) under Monopterus albus (swamp eel). Its description in RNAcentral is "Mal-Mir-130-P1a1_pre stem-loop". The record is from RNAcentral. Lineage: Eukaryota; Metazoa; Chordata; Actinopteri; Synbranchiformes; Synbranchidae.
GCUCUUUUUCUGUUGUACUACUGUGAAAUCAGAUGAGCAGUGCAAUAUUAAAAGGGCAU